GCCGGGCUCGGUGGUGCACGCCUGUAAUCCCAGCGAGACGGAGGCAGAGACAGGAGGAUCGCAAGUUCAAUGCCAGCCCCAGCAACUAAGCUGGAUCCUGUCUCGA
RNAcentral lists this small RNA (106 nucleotides) under Marmota monax (woodchuck). Lineage: Eukaryota; Metazoa; Chordata; Mammalia; Rodentia; Sciuridae. The record is from RNAcentral.